GACGAACGCUGGCGGCGUGCUUAACACAUGCAAGUCGAACGGAAAGGCCCUGCUUUUGUGGGGUGCUCGAGUGGCGAACGGGUGAGUAACACGUGAGUAACCUGCCCUUGACUUUGGGAUAACUUCAGGAAACUGGGGCUAAUACCGGAUAGGAGCUCCUGCUGCAUGGUGGGGGUUGGAAAGUUUCGGCGGUUGGGGGUGGACUCGCGGCUUAUCAGCCUGUUGGUGGGGUAGUGGCUUACCAAGGCUUUGACGGGUAGCCGGCCUGAGAGGGUGACCGGCCACAUUGGGACUGAGAUACGGCCCAGACUCCUACGGGAGGCAGCAGUGGGGAAUAUUGCACAAUGGGCGGAAGCCUGAUGCAGCAACGCCGCGUGCGGGAUGACGGCCUUCGGGUUGUAAACCGCUUUCGCCUGUGACGAAGCGUGAGUGACGGUAAUGGGUAAAGAAGCACCGGCUAACUACGUG
RNAcentral lists this ribosomal RNA (468 nucleotides) under uncultured bacterium. RNAcentral's name for it is "partial 16S ribosomal RNA". It matches the Rfam family "Bacterial small subunit ribosomal RNA", at positions 28 to 507 of the family's 1533-position model. The record is from RNAcentral.